UGGUGGAGUGAUUUGUCUGGUUAAUUCCGUUAACGAACGAGACCUCCGCGUGCUAAAUAGUUCCGCUUACAAUUUUUUGUAGGUAGUGGACUUCUUAGAGGGACUUUUGGGUAAUCAAACCAAAGGAAGUUGGAGGCAAUAACA
RNAcentral lists this ribosomal RNA (144 nucleotides) under uncultured eukaryote. RNAcentral describes it as "partial 18S ribosomal RNA". It matches the Rfam family "Eukaryotic small subunit ribosomal RNA", at positions 1299 to 1458 of the family's 1831-position model. The record is from RNAcentral.